Molecule: long non-coding RNA, 907 nt
Organism: Ictalurus punctatus (channel catfish)
Lineage: Eukaryota; Metazoa; Chordata; Actinopteri; Siluriformes; Ictaluridae
Source: Ensembl
CUGAGCUGAAAACUUUUGGCUGAAAUUUAAAAUACUGGAUAUACUUGGCUAAAAACUGAAACCUAAAAGUACAUUUAAAAAACUUAACUAAAAACCUGUUUUAAAAGAACGGCCAUUUUGUGUAAUUGUAUAAAUAUUUUGCGUUUAAUAAUCAUUUUCACGUGUCUGAAAGACUGUGGUGACAGAAGGUGUCAGCGUGCUAGUUUGGCUGUGUUGAAGCUCUGUUGCUUUGCUGUACCCUGCGUAUUGAAUUGGAUGUCAUGCUUUCACUUGGUGCAUCAGACCUGUCUGUAGUGCCUCGGCCAUGUACCACCUUUUUAAACCUCAUCUGAGCAACGACUGCAAAUUGCUGUUUUGACGUCCGUGUCAGAAACUUUGAAAUUGUUCCACAUUGCUGAGGAGCUGUAGCAGACGCAGCAGCACUGAGACAUCAAGUGACUCUUCUGCUGCACAGACACACUGAAGAACACACACACACACUCAACACAAACACACAGAGAAGAAAACACUAACUAUACACAAAAGCACUGAGAGAAAAUGUACACACACACACUCCACACACAUUACAAUAGCUUUAAAUCUAAGUGACAGUCGCUCUCCUGUUUACAUGUUUACUGAUCGGAACACAGCAGCUGCAGGUACAAAUAAGAAUUAAUCACUCCAUUAUAUAAUAAUAAACAACACUGCUAUUUUUUUCCUCUGUAUUUGCAUGUUAAUGCAGUACAAUGAAUGUAAUAUUUUUUAGUAAAUAUGAGAAUAUUCAAUUUGACACAGAGGUCAGAGGAAUUAUGGGAAACAUUUUUACAAUAGUUUUUGUACACAUUUGUAAAUUUUGUUUAUUCCUCCAUGUGUGUGAUUUUAAAUUAUAGAGGUUUAUUUUUAUUUGUACUUCACACUACUUUAUUAA